GUUGUUACUGUUCCGUCAUGAACUAAGUAUAAGGAAUAAAUUCAGUAAAUAUUGGCAACGUUGUAGAAUUAACGCAACGGCAAAUGUCUGCCCCCUACCAUUGUAGUAUUUGAAAAGUUGGUUAGAAAUGUUAAUUACAAUCAAAUGUAGAAUCUUAAGAACGGAAAUAGUGAAAUGUUAAAUUUAAAAAAAAUAUAAGUAGAUAAGUAGCAGAAAGUGUAGAUGGAAAAAUAAUAGAAGUAGCAAGUGUUUGUUAAGUGCACAAGCUUUUAUUUGGUUGCACAGUGCAUAACCUCACUUUUGGAUAUAUCAUAAAUACAUGAUAAAAGACAUCUUACCAAGUAACAUCUCUAAUUCUCAAACUACACGUUCUUCUCAAGACUUUCUGAACUGGUAAACUUAAUCUCCUUAUCCGACCCAACGUUCUGUUUUCUCUAAUCACUUGAUUCACAGGUAUAGAUAUGUUAUCCGAUGGUUUGAUCAUAUUAAAUAUCACUUUUAACGAAAAUAAAAACACAACGAAUUGAAA
Molecule: long non-coding RNA, 529 nt
Organism: Diorhabda carinulata
Lineage: Eukaryota; Metazoa; Arthropoda; Insecta; Coleoptera; Chrysomelidae
Exons: 2
Source: RefSeq, a predicted model, not a curated record